AGCCCAGACUCCUACGGGAGGCAGCAGUGGGGAAUAUUGCACAAUGGGGGAAACCCUGAUGCAGCGACGCCGCGUGAGUGAAGAAGUAUUUCGGUAUGUAAAGCUCUAUCAGCAGGGAAGAAAAUGACGGUACCUGACUAAGAAGCCCCGGCUAACUACGUGCCAGCAGCCGCGGUAAUACGUAGGGGGCAAGCGUUAUCCGGAUUUACUGGGUGUAAAGGGAGCGUAGACGGCAUGGCAAGUCAGAUGUGAAAGCCCGGGGCUCAACCCCGGGACUGCAUUUGAAACUGUCAGGCUAGAGUGCAGGAGAGGUAAGUGCAAUUCCUAGUGUAGCGGUGAAAUGCGUAGAUAUUAGGAGGAACACCAGUGGCGAAGGCGGCAUACUGGACUGUAAC
Molecule: ribosomal RNA, 395 nt
Filed under: uncultured bacterium
Lineage: Bacteria
Description: bacterial SSU rRNA
Rfam family: Bacterial small subunit ribosomal RNA
Source: RNAcentral